RNAcentral lists this ribosomal RNA (501 nucleotides) under uncultured bacterium. Its description in RNAcentral is "partial 16S ribosomal RNA". It matches the Rfam family "Bacterial small subunit ribosomal RNA", at positions 30 to 523 of the family's 1533-position model. The record is from RNAcentral.
AUUGAACGCUGGCGGCAGGCUUAACACAUGCAAGUCGAGCGGGGUGAGGUGCUUCGGUACUGAUCCUAGCGGCGGACGGGUGAGUAAUGCUUAGGAAUCUGCCAUUUAGUGGGGGACAACAUUCCGAAAGGAAUGCUAAUACACCAUACGUCCUACGGGAGAAAGCAGGGGAUCUUCGGACCUUGCGCUAAAUGAUGAGCCUAAGUCGGAUUAGAUAGUUGGUGGGGUAAAGGCCUACCAAGGCGACGAUCUGUAGCGGGUCUGAGAGGAUGAUCCGCCACACUGGGACUGAGACACGGCCCAGACUCCUACGGGAGGCAGCAGUGGGGAAUAUUGGACAAUGGGCGGAAGCCUGAUCCAGCCAUGCCGCGUGUGUGAAGAAGGCCUUUUGGUUGUAAAGCACUUUAAGCGAGGAGGAGGCUACCUGGAUUAAUACUCUAGGAUAGUGGACGUUACUCGCAGAAUAAGCACCGGCUAACUCUGUGCCAGCCGCCGCCGUAA